Molecule: transfer RNA, 74 nt
Filed under: Myotis brandtii (Brandt's bat)
Lineage: Eukaryota; Metazoa; Chordata; Mammalia; Chiroptera; Vespertilionidae
Rfam family: tRNA
About the family: Transfer RNA (tRNA) molecules are approximately 80 nucleotides in length. Their secondary structure includes four short double-helical elements and three loops (D, anti-codon, and T loops).
Source: Rfam by way of RNAcentral
GCCCGUGUGGCUCAGUGGAUAGAGUGCUGGCCCUCGGACGGAAGGGUCCCGGGUUCGAUUCCCGGUCAGGGGCA